GACGAACGCUGGCGGCGUGCCUAACACAUGCAAGUCGAACGGUAAGGACCUGCUUUUGUGGGGUGCUCGAGUGGCGAAAGGGUGAGUGAAACGUGAGUGACAUGCCCCUGACUUUGGGAUAACUUCGGGAAACUGGGGUUCAUACCGGAUAGGAGCUCCUGCUGCAUGAUGGGGGUUGGUGAGUUUCGGCGGUUGGGGACGGAAUCGCGGCUUAUCAGCUUGUUGGUGGGGGAGUGGCUUACCAAGGCGUUGACGGGUAGCCGGCCUGAGAGGGUGACCGGCCACAAUGGGACUGAGAUACGGCCCAGACUCCUACGGGAGGCAGCAGUGGGGAAUAUUGCACAAUGGGCGGAAGCCUGAUGCAGCAACUCCGCGUGCGGGAUGACGGCCUUCGGGGUGUAAACCGCUUGCGCCUGUGACGAAGCGUGAGUGACGGUAAUGGGUAAAGAAGCACCGGCUAACUACGUG
This 468-nucleotide ribosomal RNA is filed under the name uncultured bacterium. RNAcentral's name for it is "partial 16S ribosomal RNA". It matches the Rfam family "Bacterial small subunit ribosomal RNA", at positions 28 to 507 of the family's 1533-position model. The record is from RNAcentral.